GUUGGAUAAAAAUAAUGUUACAUAUAUAGAAGAGGGCGUAUUUCAAAAUAUGUCAGCUUUAAGAGUACUGUAAGUUUUUCUUAUAAAAAGAAUAUAAAUUAUAUUGAUUGCAAAACAUGAGACUCUAACAAGGAAGUGUUGAAGAGUCGCUGUGCAAUUAUAUUUAAUGUGAUAACACAUGAUAUGUAAAUGAUGCGGAAUUAUAUUGAGGAUUUUUAUUUAGCCUUUCAAUUAAGACAUGUAAGAUACGAUUCAGAUAAAUACUGACCGAUCAACUAAAAAAACCUUCAAUGUACAGAAUUUUUCAUUUAGCACUUUAUUAGAUAUUUGGAAAUUAUUUUCAUCAACACAGUUGUUUGACCAUUGCACACGAUCAAUUCAUAAUUGGGAUUCUUGAGGUGUUAGUUUACUUUUGUUUACAAGAGUUAAGUAAACGUGAUUGUACCAUGUUGUAUUCUAGUGUUUAAAAUUUUCAUGUUUUAUUUAUUGUAUACUAUAUGCAUAUUUACAGCGCUCUGGACUUAUACUGUGAUUGCAGCAUAAUUCCGUUUUGGAAUUGGUUAAAACUAGUAGGGAAGUACGGGUCAACUAUUACUUGCUUUGAGCGAAAUGGUGCAUUUCUGUCAAGUUUACUUAGCUGCGCUUUCAACAAAUGUAACGG
Molecule: long non-coding RNA, 661 nt
Filed under: Mytilus galloprovincialis (Mediterranean mussel)
Lineage: Eukaryota; Metazoa; Mollusca; Bivalvia; Mytilida; Mytilidae
Source: RNAcentral